GGCGUUAUCGCCCGGGCCCUGGAUCAUCCCGCAGAUAUUCUCCAGCUCGAAGCUGCAUUGCUCCAGAAACGUUAACGUUGACGCUGCAGAGGCAUUUGCAAGUUACGUCAGCCGUCGAUGACUGAUGAACAUGGACCAUGGAUCCUUACCCAUAAGUGUUUAGCAAGAACGUUACCGCGCAGUCAGAGAAGGAAACCUGCAUUUAACUACAUGAACACGAUUGUGAAUUAAUUUGCAGUUACCAGGAUAUAGGACUGCUGACAUUGCUAUUUGUGGAGCGCGGCAGGAGACCUACAGCAGUUGUAGAGCCGGUUGAGCUUCAGAAGGUC
This is a long non-coding RNA of Lepisosteus oculatus (spotted gar), 329 nucleotides long. RefSeq lists it as uncharacterized. The record is from RefSeq and is a predicted model, not a curated record. NCBI's taxonomy places the organism in Eukaryota, Metazoa, Chordata, Actinopteri, Semionotiformes, Lepisosteidae.